Molecule: non-coding RNA, 107 nt
Organism: Gossypium hirsutum (cotton)
Lineage: Eukaryota; Viridiplantae; Streptophyta; Magnoliopsida; Malvales; Malvaceae
Source: Rfam
AACCCAUGAUGAGGGCACCUUCUCAAAAGAUCAUUAAAUCUCUCUCAUGCAUCAUAUAAUGUCUCCAAAUUAAUUUGAGCAAAAGACGAGAUGUCGUUCCUCAAAUU